Molecule: long non-coding RNA, 156 nt
Organism: Rhagoletis zephyria (snowberry fruit fly)
Lineage: Eukaryota; Metazoa; Arthropoda; Insecta; Diptera; Tephritidae
Source: RefSeq, a predicted model, not a curated record
UUUUGCUCAUAUUCGUUGACAAUUAAUAUCUUUUUUUCAUGCGAAUCCUGAUCCUAAGUUUAUCUUCUACUGCUGCUUCUGAGCGGUGCAAUCAUUCAUUUUCAUACUUAUUAAGGUGCUCCCCAAUACCUCAGCAACAGUUUGCAAAUAUGUACA